AACGAACGCUGGCGGCAUGCCUAACACAUGCAAGUCGAACGAGACCUUCGGGUCUAGUGGCGCACGGGUGCGUAACGCGUGGGAACCUGCCCUUAGGUUCGGAAUAACUCCCCGAAAGGGGUGCUAAUACCGGAUAAUGUCUUCGGACCAAAGAUUUAUCGCCUUUGGAUGGGCCCGCGUUGGAUUAGCUAGUUGGUAGGGUAAAAGCCUACGAAGGCGACGAUCCAUAGCUGGUCUGAGAGGAUGAUCAGCCACACUGGGACUGAGACACGGCCCAGAAUCCUACGGGAGGCAGCAGUGGGGAAUAUUGGACAAUGGGCGAAAGCCUGAUCCAGCAAUGCCGCGUGAGUGAUGAAGGCCUUAGGGUUGUAAAGCUCUUUUACCCGGGAUGAUAAUGACAGUACCGGGAGAAUAAGCUCCGGCUAACUCCGUG
Molecule: ribosomal RNA, 433 nt
Filed under: uncultured bacterium
Lineage: Bacteria
Description: partial 16S ribosomal RNA
Rfam family: Bacterial small subunit ribosomal RNA
Source: RNAcentral